Molecule: ribosomal RNA, 18 nt
Filed under: Raphia farinifera
Lineage: Eukaryota; Viridiplantae; Streptophyta; Magnoliopsida; Arecales; Arecaceae
Description: partial 26S ribosomal RNA
Source: RNAcentral
GAAACCCCUAGUCAAGUG